AUGCCUUGUAAGUCAGGAGAAAGAUGUCUGUUCAUUAUAAAAGACGAAUUUAUGUUCUUUGCCAGCAGUAACUUCCUCUUUAAACUCUUAAAACACUGAAUCAAUUUUGACCAAAAUUAUUCUUAUUUAACUCAUAAAUACAGAUCACAACUAAAGCAAAUUAGGCUUAAAAUCCUUUAUGCUGCCCUGGAUUUCCCUUUGUCCCACUAGAUAAUGUGUUAUGAGGUAUUUUAUUUUACUUUGUAAAGUUUUCUCUGUGGAUCAUAAUGACUUCCUGAAAACCUAAAAUCUUCAAAAUGCAUUUAAAAGGGUUUUCUGAGUGGCACAUUUCAAAAAGUGUUUUUAAUUUGUUCUUGAAUUUCUUUAUGCUGGACUAAUAUUUGAACCACUUGACCUCUCAGUCAGCUUCUUUUUAGGUUAAUUCUUGAUUCAACAGGCCUGGCAGUAAUCAGUGCCGGGUGUGGCUAAUGAAAUUGAACUCAGCUUUUAUGAUAUGGAAAUGCGAACAGGUUCUUCUUAACAUGGGACAUGACAGCUUAUGAAGGCGGUGGGGGCUGCUGUUCUUCCUGGGUUUUUUCCUGACGCUCCUCGACCUGCUGCUGGUCCAUCUGCUCGCUUUCGCUCUGGAUUUCAGGCACGGGUGGCGCUGGUCCUUCAGAGCGGGGCGAAGAUAGUCUGACACCACUGUCAUCAACUGCUGUGGCGUCAGCUACUGGUGCCAUGGGAGGAGCCGGAGCAGGCUGUUCAGGCUCAAUGCGUUUGCGAAGCAACCUUACGCUCUCUUCCAACUGUAAACCAGAGAAAACGUAGAAGAAUCCACUGGAUCAAUUUAAGGACUAUUACUGACAGUGGCAUGUUGCUAAGAGCAGAGCUCACUAGUGAGUAAUUCCAAAGGAUUUAGCUUCUGUCUUAAGCUGGUUUUUGAAUGCAUUAUUUACAUUUAAAAGCUUAACACUGCAAUAAAUAAGGUACCUGUGACCAGUAGCGAUUGACAA
Oryzias latipes (Japanese medaka) is the source of this 995-nucleotide long non-coding RNA. RefSeq lists it as uncharacterized. Lineage: Eukaryota; Metazoa; Chordata; Actinopteri; Beloniformes; Adrianichthyidae. The record is from RefSeq and is a predicted model, not a curated record.